RNAcentral lists this ribosomal RNA (508 nucleotides) under uncultured bacterium. Its description in RNAcentral is "partial 16S ribosomal RNA". It matches the Rfam family "Bacterial small subunit ribosomal RNA", at positions 28 to 507 of the family's 1533-position model. The record is from RNAcentral.
GAUGAACGCUGGCGGCGUGCCUAAUACAUGCAAGUCGAACGCUUAUUUCCUACCUUGUGCUUGCGCUCAAUUGGAAAGAGGAGUGGCGGACGGGUGGGUAACACGUCCGGAACCUAGCCAACAGAGGGGGAAAACACUCGGAAACAGGUGAUAAUAUCGCAUAACAGUUUAUGCCGCAUGGCAUAAGAGUGAAAGGCGCUGUCGGGGCGCGCUAAUGGCUUGAUCCGCGGGGCAUUAGCUAGUUGGUGAGGUAACGGCAGACCAAGGGCACGAUGGAUAGCCGACCUGAGAGGGGGAUCGGCGACACGGGGACGGAGACAGGGCCAAGACGACUACGGGAGGCAGCAGUAGGGAACCGGCGGCAAUGGACGAAAGUCUGACCGAGCAACGGAGCGUGAGUGAAGAAGGUGUUCGGAGCGUAAAACUGGGUUGUUAGAGAAGAACAAGGACGUUAGUAACUGAACGUCCCCUGACGGUAUCUAACCAGAAAGCCACGGCUAACUACGUG